GACCCCUCACCCUGUUUCCUAUCACGGUAUUAAAGCUAAAUAAAUAAUUAAAUGGUACUUUGUGACUUUAUAGAUGUAUAAUUGAUUAAGGUUGUCAAUGGAGCCCGAGUUUGAUACAGUGUUAGUCUAUUAUUGUUUAAUCUAAUUUUUAGUAUUAAAUGCAGCAUGAUGUUUGAUGUAAUUAUGUUAUGGUCUCGUAUGCAUGAAUUAUGAUUUCUUUUAUUAUGGUCUGUAUUAUGGUGAACCCGUUACUGUGUUGUCUUGUUUGGUGUCAAUUACUGGUAUACAUGUUGUGUAUGAUUGGAUGAUUGAGAUCAAGGAAAAAGGCGAAAAGGUUAUGUGAAUUGAUGAGUGGAUAAUGUGGACAGCCUGACUAGAU
This 379-nucleotide long non-coding RNA is filed under the name Carica papaya (papaya). RNAcentral describes it as "long non-coding RNA (CPAP_LNC003026)". Lineage: Eukaryota; Viridiplantae; Streptophyta; Magnoliopsida; Brassicales; Caricaceae. The record is from RNAcentral.